CCUACGGGUGGCAGCAGUGGGGAAUAUUGCACAAUGGGCGCAAGCCUGAUGCAGCCAUGCCGCGUGUAUGAAGAAGGCCUUCGGGUUGUAAAGUACUUUCAGCGAGGAGGAAGGCAUUAAGGUUAAUAACCUUGGUGAUUGACGUUACUCGCAGAAGAAGCACCGGCUAACUCCGUGCCAGCAGCCGCGGUAAUACGGAGGGUGCAAGCGUUAAUCGGAAUUACUGGGCGUAAAGCGCACGCAGGCGGUUUGUUAAGUCAGAUGUGAAAUCCCCGAGCUUAACUUGGGAACUGCAUUUGAAACUGGCAAGCUAGAGUCUUGUAGAGGGGGGUAGAAUUCCAGGUGUAGCGGUGAAAUGCGUAGAGAUCUGGAGGAAUACCGGUGGCGAAGGCGGCCCCCUGGACAAAGACUGACGCUAAGGUGCGAAAGCGUGGGGAGCA
This 440-nucleotide ribosomal RNA is filed under the name uncultured bacterium. RNAcentral's name for it is "bacterial SSU rRNA". It matches the Rfam family "Bacterial small subunit ribosomal RNA", at positions 338 to 770 of the family's 1533-position model. The record is from RNAcentral.